UGCAGUGAGCUAGAACAGACCCCAGAUGAGUCACAAAAACUCUGAGUCCCUCACCUACCUGAAGAUGUGUCAGUUCAUCAAUAAGAACAUGGUUUCACAACAGCUUAAACUAAAAUGAAAUGGGCCCACCCAAGAGCUCUACCCAUUCCAAUAUUUAGAAGCUUUUCCAUCUAUUUAGCAUCUCCCUUGCUCCAAGUAUACUGCAUGGCACAACUUACACAUGAAUAUCUGUUGAAUGAAGAGAAGUGAUCUGGCAAAGUGAACAGAGCAUCAGUUUGUAUUCAGACCUGGACACAGUGAAAUCUGACUCUGGUGACCAACACAUACAAGUUCAUUAAGGUAAAAGUGUGGCUGUAGCAGACAUGAGAACGUGCCUUGCAGAACUCCAGCCACAGAAACUUCACUGACCAGGGGACCCAGCUACAGCCCUCUGAGUCCACCACUGGGCUGGCUGAGCCCAUGCCUUCACCAGCUGCUUCCUGGCAAUGACUGAGUUCAGGAGAGAUACUAAGCAGGCUCCUUUUUGUAAGACACAAACUCCCCGGAUGGGGGCCUUUGGCCCAGGAAAGGCACAGAGACUUUGCCUAAACUGUCUUAGAACUACACUGUGCUCUACAACUUUUCCUAUCCAACCUUGUCUCCUUCCUUCUCUCUCAUACAGGGGCAAGAUCUGCAUUAUGACCUGGAAGCUCUCCCAGUACCAUCCUACAUUCCCUGUGAUCAGAUGUACGUGUUUGCUUCUUUUUUGUAUGUGUGUUUGCUUCUUGGAGGACUCAAAAUGACACAGUA
This is a long non-coding RNA of Odocoileus virginianus texanus, 789 nucleotides long. RefSeq lists it as uncharacterized. Lineage: Eukaryota; Metazoa; Chordata; Mammalia; Artiodactyla; Cervidae. The record is from RefSeq and is a predicted model, not a curated record.